Molecule: ribosomal RNA, 1341 nt
Filed under: uncultured bacterium
Lineage: Bacteria
Description: 16S ribosomal RNA
Rfam family: Bacterial small subunit ribosomal RNA
Source: RNAcentral
GACGAACGCUGGCGGCGUGCUUAACACAUGCAAGUCGAACGGUAAGGCUCCAGCUUGCUGGGGUACACGAGUGGCGAACGGGUGAGUAACACGUGGGUGACCUGCCCUGCACUUCGGGAUAAGCCUGGGAAACUGGGUCUAAUACCGGAUAGGACCGCACCGUGAGGGUGUGGUGGAAAGUUUUUUCGGUGUGGGAUGGGCCCGCGGCCUAUCAGCUUGUUGGUGGGGUAAUGGCCUACCAAGGCGGCGACGGGUAGCCGGCCUGAGAGGGUGGACGGCCACAUUGGGACUGAGACACGGCCCAGACUCCUACGGGAGGCAGCAGUGGGGAAUAUUGCACAAUGGGCGGAAGCCUGAUGCAGCGACGCCGCGUGGGGGAUGACGGCCUUCGGGUUGUAAACUCCUUUCACCAUCGACGAAGGGUUUCUGACGGUAGAUGGAGAAGAAGCACCGGCUAACUACGUGCCAGCAGCCGCGGUAAUACGUAGGGUGCGAGCGUUGUCCGGAAUUACUGGGCGUAAAGAGCUCGUAGGUGGUUUGUCGCGUCGUCUGUGAAAUUCCGGGGCUUAACUCCGGGCGUGCAGGCGAUACGGGCAUAACUUGAGUACUGUAGGGGAGACUGGAAUUCCUGGUGUAGCGGUGAAAUGCGCAGAUAUCAGGAGGAACACCGGUGGCGAAGGCGGGUCUCUGGGCAGUAACUGACGCUGAGGAGCGAAAGCAUGGGGAGCGAACAGGAUUAGAUACCCUGGUAGUCCAUGCCGUAAACGGUGGGCGCUAGGUGUGGGUUUCCUUCCACGGGAUCCGUGCCGUAGCUAACGCAUUAGGCGCCCCGCCUGGGGAGUACGGCCGCAAGGCUAAAACUCAAAGGAAUUGACGGGGGCCCGCACAAGCGGCGGAGCAUGUGGAUUAAUUCGAUGCAACGCGAAGAACCUUACCUGGGCUUGACAUAUACAGGAUCGCGCCAGAGAUGGUGUUUCCCUUGUGGCUUGUAUACAGGUGGUGCAUGGUUGUCGUCAGCUCGUGUCGUGAGAUGUUGGGUUAAGUCCCGCAACGAGCGCAACCCUUGUCUUAUGUUGCCAGCACGUUGUGGUGGGGACUCGUAAGAAACUGCCGGGGUUAACUCGGAGGAAGGUGGGGAUGACGUCAAAUCAUCAUGCCCCUUAUGUCCAGGGCUUCACACAUGCUACAAUGGUCGGUACAGUGGGUUGCCAGUCCGUGAGGGCGAGCUAAUCCCGCAAAGCCGGUCUCAGUUCGGAUCGGGGUCUGCAACUCGACCCCGUGAAGUCGGAGUCGCUAGUAAUCGCAGAUCAGCAACGCUGCGGUGGAUACGUUCCCGGGCCU